AGUUGGUGGAGUGAUUUGUCUGGUUAAUUCCGUUAACGAACGAGACCUCGUCCUACUAAAUAGUUGUUAUAAUUCUUUGAAUUGUACCAUACUUCUUAGAGGGACUAUCGGAUUGGUGUACCCGGUGGAAGUUCGAGGCAAUAACAGGU
RNAcentral lists this ribosomal RNA (149 nucleotides) under uncultured eukaryote. Its description in RNAcentral is "partial small subunit ribosomal RNA". It matches the Rfam family "Eukaryotic small subunit ribosomal RNA", at positions 1296 to 1461 of the family's 1831-position model. The record is from RNAcentral.